ACACGACUACAUUAGACUACCGGGUAGUCCUGCCGUAAACGAUACUCGCUAGGUGUCGGCCACGGUGCGACCGUUGUCGGUGCCGUAGGGAAGCCGUGAAGCGAGCCACCUGGGAAGUACGGCCGCAAGGCUGAAACUUAAAGGAAUUGCGGGGGAGCACCACAACGGGUGGAGCCUGCGGUUUAAUUGGACUCAACGCCGGGAAGCUCACCGGAUAAGACAGCGGAAUGAUUGCCGGGCUGAAGACCCUGCAUGACCAGCUG
This 263-nucleotide ribosomal RNA is filed under the name uncultured archaeon. Its description in RNAcentral is "partial 16S ribosomal RNA". It matches the Rfam family "Archaeal small subunit ribosomal RNA", at positions 717 to 982 of the family's 1478-position model. The record is from RNAcentral.